This 253-nucleotide ribosomal RNA is filed under the name uncultured bacterium. RNAcentral's name for it is "partial 16S ribosomal RNA". It matches the Rfam family "Bacterial small subunit ribosomal RNA", at positions 524 to 776 of the family's 1533-position model. The record is from RNAcentral.
UACAGAGGGUGCAAACGUUGUUCGGAUUUACUGGGCGUAAAGCGUGUGUAGGCGGUUUGGCAAGUCGGAUGUGAAAGCCCCGGGCUCAACUCGGGAAGUGCACUCGAUACUGCUAGACUGGAGUGUGGGAGAGGUUGGUGGAAUUCUCGGUGUAGUGGUGAAAUUCGUAGAUAUCGAGAGGAACACCGGCGGCGAAGGCGGCCAACUGGACAAACACUGACGCUGAGACACGAAAGCGUGGGGAGCAAACAGG